AUAACAGCAUGGAGCUUACCUGUCAAGCUGGUACUGUGGUCUAACAGCAAAAGACAUUCUCCCCUACCCAAUAAAACAAAUACACAAUAAAUAAUAUUCAGUAAUUGGGGGCAUUGGCUCUAGUUAUUUUCCAACUAAAAGAUAUAGAAACUAUUGGAAAUGGGCUUUUUAGAAGUUUUUAAAAAGAUUUGCUGUGAUUUCUUUUUUAUUAUUACUCAAUGAAUUUAUUACAUUUAUAGUUGUACAAUUAUCAUCACAAUCCGAUUUUAUAGGAUUUCCAUCCUACAACCCCAGCACAUCCCCCCAUACCCCAAACUGCCUCCUUUGGAGACCCUAAGUUUUUCAAGUUCUGUGAGUCAGUAUCUGUUCAGCAAAGAAGUUCAUUCUGUCCUUUUUUCAGAUUCUGCAUGUCAGUGACAGCAUUUGAUGUCGGUGUCUCAUAAGCUUUGCUGUGAUUUCUUUUAUUUCCAUUGGAGUUUUGAAUUUCGAAAGGGGAAUGGGUCCUGAAGAGCAGUCAUAUGGGGCAGAAAAUAUCGUUAAGGUGAGCUUGAGAAAUACAAGUCUGGCUAAGGAGGCAGGAACUGGGAAGCUGGGAUGAAACAGCCCAAGAGAAUGGGAACACAGGGAGUUUAUGUUUACUACACCGAGAUUACAGCUCUAGCAAUAUCUGUUGAAUGACUGAUUGGGUAUUUGAAUUGUUAGGUUCAAUGGAUAUCUGUAGCCUUUGCCAUCAUUAUCCAAUUACCCCUUACCUGAUAUAAAAUGCCUUCUGGUGUGAAUCACAGAAAAUGUCAUGAUCACAUUUUCUCCUUGCAGUGGACACACAAGCUCUUUGUGAAACCCACAAAACUGACUGUACAGAGUCUUGGCUCAUUCAAAAGCCUCAUUUCUGACCGUAACAUAAGCCCUGACCCAUUUCCACCUUCAUCUUUUCCUUUCUCCAUUCUAAUUCUUGUUUUACAAUGUUUUGUAAGCCUCUUUUAAAUUAUCCAAAAGCCAGGGUAAAGAAUGAGCAGAUUAAAAAAAUGAUAGGUAAGUAAAUGAAUAACAAAUCAUAACCAGAAAACACAUUUCUGCAAAAUGCUAUUAUAAACAUGAACAAUUUCAAUGACAAUUCAAUUCAGAAAUAAAAUAGAUAUGUCCAAAAUCUAAACCUCCUUCUGAAGCUUUUGCCUUAUUUUUAUGCAUCCUUAUAGGUUUUCUGUGAAACAACCAAAACAUUAAAGUUCAAGAAGCAAGUUUAUUGUUUGUAGACAUUUUCACUUUGGCCAUUCUGGCCAGUGUAAAAUGAUACCUCAUAGUGGUUUUGAUUUGCAUUUCUCUAAUAAUUAGUGAUGUUGAACAUCUUUUCAUGUGUUUUUGGCUAUCUGUAUGUCUUCUUUGGAGAAUGUCUGUAUACAUCUUCUGCCCAUUUUUGUGAUGGGGUUGUGGUAUUGAGCCAUAGGAGGUGUUUAUAAAUUUCGGAGAUUAAUCCCUUGUCAGUUGCUUCAUUUGCAAAUAUUUUUUUCCUAUUCUGUAGGUUCUCUUUUCAUUUUCUUUAGGGUUUCCUUUGCUGUGCAGAAACUUUUAAGUUUAAUUAAGUCCCAUUUGUUUGUUUUUAUUGUCAUUACUCUAGCAAGUGGAUCUGAGAAGAUAUUACUAUGGUUUAUGUCAGAGAGUGUUUGGUAUAUGUUUUCCUCUAAGAGUUUUAAGGUAUCUGGUCUAUAUUUAGGUCUUUAAUCCAUUUUGAGUUUAUUUUUGUAUAUGUUGAUAGGAAGUGUUCUAAUUUCUUUCUAUUAAAUGUGGCUGUCUAGUUUUCCCAGCACCACUUAUUGAAGGGGCUGUCUUUUCUCCAUUGUAUAUUCUUGCUUCCUUUGUCAUAGAUGAAUUGAUUGUAGAUGUAUGGGUUUAAUUCUGGACUUUUCAGCCUGUUCUGCUGAUAUAUAUUCCUGUCUUUGUGCCAGUACCAUACAGUUUUGAUGACUGUAGCUUUGUAAUAUAAUGUGAAAUCAGGGAGCCUGAUUCCUUCAGCUCCAUUUUUCUUUCUCAGAAUGGCUAUGGCUGUUCUGAGUCUGUUGUUCUUCUGAACAAACUUUAAAAUAUUUUGUUCCAGUUCUGUAAAAAAUGUCCUUGGUAAUUUGAUAGGGAUUGCAUUGAAUCUAUAUACUAUCUUGGAUAGUAUAGUCAUUUUGAUAAUAUUGACUCUUCCAAUCCAAGAGCAUGGUGUGUUUUUCCAUCUAUUUUUGUCAUCUUUGAUUUCUUUCAUCAGCAUCUUAUAGUUUUCAGAGUACAGAUCUUUUGUCUUUAAGUAGGUAAAUGCUGAAGAAGGUGUGGAGAAAAGGGAACCCUAUUACACUGUUGGUGGGAUUGUAAAUUUGUGCAACCACUGUCAAAAACAGUAUGGAGAUGCCUCAGAAAACUAAACAUAGAACUACCAUUUGAUCCAGCAAUCCCACUCCUGGGCAUCUAUCCAGAGAAAACCACAACUCACAGAGACACACGUACUCCGAUGUUCAUUGCAGCACUCUGCAAUAGCCAAGACAUGGAAACAACCUAAAUGUCCAUUGACAGAGGAGUAGAUCAAGAAGAUGUGGUACAUAUCACAAUGGAAUAUUACUCAGCCAUUAAAAGGAACAAAAUACCGCAUAUUUAGCAGCAUGGAUGGACCUAGAAAUUAUCAUGCAAAGUGAAGCUAGUCAGACAGUGAGACAACAACAUCAAAUGCUAUCACUUAUGUGUGGAAUUUUUAAAAAGGACAGACUGAACUUCUUGCAGAACAGAUACUGACUCACAGACUGAAAAACUUAUGGUUUCCAAAUGAGACAGGUGGAGGGUGGGGGGAAUAUGCUAGGGGUUUGGGUUGGAAAUGCUAUAAAAUUUGGUUGUGAUCAUUGUACAACUAUUAAAUGUAAUUGAGUAAUAACAAAAUGCUAUAAAUAAGCAGUUUAAAAAAUAGCCAAGUGUUUAAAGAAGUGAAAAUGUUUUUCCACCUCUUGGUCAACCAAUAUUGUAAUAGAAAAUCUCUCAAAUAAAAACAAGUGUAAUUCUCUCAAAGUCUGCAUAUACAUUUCUGAUUUGGGCUGUUUUCUUGCCUCCCAUGUAAUGAUUAUAUUUGCUUGUCUAAGGACAGAAUACUCAUUAAUUUGUUUGUGUCAUGCCACAUGUCAUUGUGUCCUUUCCCUUCCAGAGAAAUAUAGUAAUGAAAAAUUUAGACAGUAUGUUAUAGAUACACAGACAGAAAACAUGCUCCAUUUUCUGACACCACCUAGGUUGCAAUACUGACAUGACAGUUUCAAUCUUUGGAGGAGGACAUCUGAUUACAGUUUUGUAUUCCAUUGUUUUAAUCUAGAAUGUUAAGCAAGCAAAAAGGAAGAAAAAGAGACAAAACUAUUUUAAGACUUUACACCAUGUAGAGUAUUUUGCUCCCUUGAGAAGUAUUCCUCUGGCCAAAUGGAGGAAGUUAUUAUCAUCUGGCAAUUGCCCUGAAUCAAGCCCAGUGUGUAUGCCAGUGCUGGCUAAUCCACCAGUCUCCCUUCAGCUCCUUCUGUGCUUAAUAAACCUCUCAAUGCUGCUCUUCUUGGUGUGGAAAAUAGAUAUUCAAAUCCAACACAUAUUCUUUACUUAAUCUCUCAGACAUACACCAGACAAUUCAGAUUCAUGAGCAUUUGAGU
This 3650-nucleotide long non-coding RNA is filed under the name Sus scrofa (pig). RNAcentral's name for it is "lncRNA (ENSSSCG00000053226.1)". The record is from RNAcentral. Lineage: Eukaryota; Metazoa; Chordata; Mammalia; Artiodactyla; Suidae.